RNAcentral lists this ribosomal RNA (497 nucleotides) under uncultured bacterium. Its description in RNAcentral is "partial 16S ribosomal RNA". It matches the Rfam family "Bacterial small subunit ribosomal RNA", at positions 28 to 507 of the family's 1533-position model. The record is from RNAcentral.
GAUGAACGCUGGCGGCGUGCCUAAUACAUGCAAGUCGAGCGAACGGACGAGGAGCUUGCUCCUCUGACGUUAGCGGCGGACGGGUGAGUAACACGUGGAUAACCUACCUAUAAGACUGGGAUAACUUCGGGAAACCGGAGCUAAUACCGGAUAAUAUAUUGAACCGCAUGGUUCAAUAGUGAAAGACGGUUUUGCUGUCACUUAUAGAUGGAUCCGCGCCGCAUUAGCUAGUUGGUAAGGUAACGGCUUACCAAGGCAACGAUGCGUAGCCGACCUGAGAGGGUGAUCGGCCACACUGGAACUGAGACACGGUCCAGACUCCUACGGGAGGCAGCAGUAGGGAAUCUUCCGCAAUGGGCGAAAGCCUGACGGAGCAACGCCGCGUGAGUGAUGAAGGUCCUCGGAUCGUAAAACUCUGUUAUUAGGGAAGAACAAAUGUGUAAGUAACUAUGCACGUCUUGACGGUACCUAAUCAGAAAGCCACGGCUAACUACGUG